RNAcentral lists this ribosomal RNA (434 nucleotides) under uncultured bacterium. RNAcentral's name for it is "partial 16S ribosomal RNA". It matches the Rfam family "Bacterial small subunit ribosomal RNA", at positions 29 to 507 of the family's 1533-position model. The record is from RNAcentral.
AGCGAACGCUGGCGGCAGGCCUAACACAUGCAAGUCGAACGAACCUUUCGGGGUGAGUGGCGGACGGGUGAGUAACACGUGGGAACGUGCCAUUAGGUUCGGAAUAACUCAGGGAAACUUGUGCUAAUACCGAAAGUGCACUUCGGGGGAAAGAUUUAUCGUCUUUAGAGCGGCCCGCGUCUGAUUAGCUAGUUGGUUGAGGUAAUGGCUCACCAAGGCGACGAUCAGUAGCUGGUCUGAGAGGAUGAUCAGCCACAUUGGGACUGAGACACGGCCCAAACUCCUACGGGAGGCAGCAGUGGGGAAUCUUGCGCAAUGGGCGAAAGCCUGACGCAGCCAUGCCGCGUGAAUGAUGAAGGUCUUAGGAUUGUAAAAUUCUUUCACCGGGUACGAUAAUGACGGUACCCGGAGAAGAAGCCCCGGCUAACUUCGUG